UUGGUUUGUUAUUGGUGGUCGGCUUUGCAACAACUUCCACCUGACAUGCCUAUUCGUUCGUCGGUUAAGGCUUCGAUUGCUUAAACAAAUUGUGGGUUUCUUGUUUUGCCUACCUAACAAACGGUAUUUGAUUGGCUUAUCUAAGAUCUGUUCGUUGUUUGUCAUGCUUAUGACCUAAGAUGAACCCUAAACUUGUCUCUUUGAACCACAUCAUCAACCUUUUUUUGGUGUAGUGGGGCAUCGAGCCUUGCUUGGUCUCUUCGAUGUAGUGCUUGAUGUGGGCAUGGGUCUUGUUAGAUCCUUGUUAUGUCCUUGUUUUGUGUUUACGCUCUUUAAAAUGACUGCUUGGCACGUGUUGGUCWCGUAAAAACGUGCCGGGCAUUGUCKAAGAGGAAUGUUACCUGGU
RNAcentral lists this unclassified non-coding RNA (406 nucleotides) under Campuloclinium megacephalum. Its description in RNAcentral is "partial contains external transcribed spacer and 18S ribosomal RNA". The record is from RNAcentral. Lineage: Eukaryota; Viridiplantae; Streptophyta; Magnoliopsida; Asterales; Asteraceae.